UGACGGUCUUAGGCCGCAACGCGUUCGC
RNAcentral lists this small RNA (28 nucleotides) under Bombyx mori (domestic silkworm). RNAcentral describes it as "ovarian small RNA-529". The record is from RNAcentral. Lineage: Eukaryota; Metazoa; Arthropoda; Insecta; Lepidoptera; Bombycidae.